GAUGAACGCUGGCGGCGUGCCUAAUACAAGCAAGUCGAGCGAACAGAUGAGAAGCUUGCUUCUCUGAUGUUAGCGGCGGACGGGUGAGUAACGCGUGGGUAACCUACCUAUAAGACUGGGAUAACUCCGGGAAACCGGGGCUAAUACCGGAUAAUAUUUUGAACCGCAUGGUUCAAUAGUGAAAGACGGUUUCGGCUGCCACUUAUAGAUGGACCCGCGCCGUAUUAGCUAGUUGGUAAGGUAACGGCUUACCAAGGCGACGAUACGUAGCCGACCUGAGAGGGUGAUCGGCCACACUGGAACUGAGACACGGUCCAGACUCCUACGGGAGGCAGCAGUAGGGAAUCUUCCGCAAUGGGCGAGAGCCUGACGGAGCAACGCCGCGUGAGUGAUGAAGGUCUUCGGAUCGUAAAACUCUGUUGUUAGGGAAGAACAAAUUUGUUAGUAACUGAACAAGUCUUGACGGUACCUAACCAGAAAGCCACGGCUAACUACGUGCCAGCAGCCGCCGUAA
Molecule: ribosomal RNA, 514 nt
Filed under: uncultured bacterium
Lineage: Bacteria
Description: partial 16S ribosomal RNA
Rfam family: Bacterial small subunit ribosomal RNA
Source: RNAcentral